GACGAACGCUGGCGGCGCGCCUAACACAUGCAAGUCGAACGAGCGAGAGAGAGCUUGCUUUCUCGAGCGAGUGGCGAACGGGUGAGUAACGCGUGAGGAACCUGCCUCAAAGAGGGGGACAACAGUUGGAAACGACUGCUAAUACCGCAUAAGCCCACGGGUCGGCAUCGACCAGAGGGAAAAGGAGCAAUCCGCUUUGAGAUGGCCUCGCGUCCGAUUAGCUAGUUGGUGAGGUAAUGGCCCACCAAGGCGACGAUCGGUAGCCGGACUGAGAGGUUGAACGGCCACAUUGGGACUGAGACACGGCCCAGACUCCUACGGGAGGCAGAAGUGGGGAAUAUUGCACAAUGGGGGAAACCCUGAUGCAGCGACGCCGCGUGGAGGAAGAAGGUCUUCGGAUUGUAAACUCCUGUUGUUGGGGAAGAUAAUGACGGUACCAAACAAGGAAGUGACGGCUAACUACGUG
Molecule: ribosomal RNA, 466 nt
Filed under: uncultured bacterium
Lineage: Bacteria
Description: partial 16S ribosomal RNA
Rfam family: Bacterial small subunit ribosomal RNA
Source: RNAcentral